AUGACUGAGUGUUGGAAGAAAUGUGUAUUCCAUUACGUCAGGACCACUGUGUGCUUUCUGGAAAUGUGGCUGGCUAGCAAAGACUUUGAGGGAAGAGCAGGUUUUCUUCAAAGAGGAGGAAGUGUGCGUAUGUGUAGCUGUAUCUCAGGAGGAAAGUGGACAAGGAUCAGAGGUGGGAAGCCGGUGACAGAGACAUCAUUUUUGGAGGAAACAACUCAGCAUUGGAUGCUAUGUCACUGUUGGGUGGAAACGAGCUGCAUCUCCAGCCUCAUCCUGUGCUGUAGCUGUGAAGACUCGGGAGAGUUUCCCAUGAGUGACCUCUUCCACAAGCCCCUUCAUCCACCAAAUUCCAAAGACAGAGUUUGCAUGGUUGUGCUGCUAGUAUUUUCAAAUUCCACUCACUGGGUGGAGAAGGAUGGCUGCCCCUGACUUAGGCUCUUGUCCUGUAGCAGCCUGAUGCAACUCUGCUCCUCAGGAGGAUGAGUGCAGACAAUUGCCUCAAGGGUGAGAACAGUAGUUGAGGCCAGUACCUUUUCUGCAGCCUGUGCAAAAUAAAAGCUUUUUCGGAAAAGAAUCUGGACAAUUUCUGCAGUUCCCCUUGUACUCCUCCAGCAUACACAGUCAUUGGACUGGGGACAUUAGAAAAUGCAUUUCUUCCUAUUUGCUUUCAAAUCUUUUUGUGACCUUGUUGUUCAUGCAUUUGUCCUGUUGUUUAACCUGCUGAUACAAUCUGCCCCUGCAGCCUCCUAUGGCAGCAGAUUCAUUACUUGCUAUAUGGAAAAUAAAAUAAAAUAAAAUAAAAUAAAA
Molecule: long non-coding RNA, 807 nt
Filed under: Ficedula albicollis (Collared flycatcher)
Lineage: Eukaryota; Metazoa; Chordata; Aves; Passeriformes; Muscicapidae
Description: lncRNA (ENSFALG00000023428.1)
Source: RNAcentral